Balaenoptera ricei (Rice's whale) is the source of this 109-nucleotide long non-coding RNA. RefSeq lists it as uncharacterized. The transcript has 3 exons. Lineage: Eukaryota; Metazoa; Chordata; Mammalia; Artiodactyla; Balaenopteridae. The record is from RefSeq and is a predicted model, not a curated record.
AGUGAAACUGAAGGUGAGGAAAUCAAGGCUCAGAGUGAUUAACACCUUGAACAAAAUCAAGAGCUUAAGAAUGCCAUUCCCUACCACAAAGGCAGAAGAGAGAGUCAGU